This 745-nucleotide ribosomal RNA is filed under the name Salmonella enterica subsp. enterica serovar Virchow. RNAcentral describes it as "partial 23S ribosomal RNA". It matches the Rfam family "Bacterial large subunit ribosomal RNA", at positions 697 to 1439 of the family's 2925-position model. Lineage: Bacteria; Pseudomonadati; Pseudomonadota; Gammaproteobacteria; Enterobacterales; Enterobacteriaceae. The record is from RNAcentral.
AAGUUGCAGGGUAUAGACCCGAAACCCGGUGAUCUAGCCAUGGGCAGGUUGAAGGUUGGGUAACACUAACUGGAGGACCGAACCGACUAAUGUUGAAAAAUUAGCGGAUGACCUGUGGCUGGGGGUGAAAGGCCAAUCAAACCGGGAGAUAGCUGGUUCUCCCCGAAAGCUAUUUAGGUAGCGCCUCGUGAAUUCAUCUCCGGGGGUAGAGCACUGUUUCGGCUAGGGGGCCAUCCCGGCUUACCAACCCGAUGCAAACUGCGAAUACCGGAGAAUGUUAUCACGGGAGACACACGGCGGGUGCUAACGUCCGUCGUGAAGAGGGAAACAACCCAGACCGCCAGCUAAGGUCCCAAAGUCAUGGUUAAGUGGGAAACGAUGUGGGAAGGCCCAGACAGCCAGGAUGUUGGCUUAGAAGCAGCCAUCAUUUAAAGAAAGCGUAAUAGCUCACUGGUCGAGUCGGCCUGCGCGGAAGAUGUAACGGGGCUAAACCAUGCACCGAAGCUGCGGCAGCGACACUGUGUGUUGUUGGGUAGGGGAGCGUUCUGUAAGCCUGUGAAGGUGGCCUGUGAGGGUUGCUGGAGGUAUCAGAAGUGCGAAUGCUGACAUAAGUAACGAUAAAGCGGGUGAAAAGCCCGCUCGCCGGAAGACCAAGGGUUCCUGUCCAACGUUAAUCGGGGCAGGGUGAGUCGACCCCUAAGGCGAGGCCGAAAGGCGUAGUCGAUGGGAAACGGGUUAAUAUUCC